AGUGAACGCUGGCGGUAGGCCUAACACAUGCAAGUCGAACGGCAGCACAGUAAGAGCUUGCUCUUACGGGUGGCGAGUGGCGGACGGGUGAGGAAUACAUCGGAAUCUACUUUUUCGUGGGGGAUAACGUAGGGAAACUUACGCUAAUACCGCAUACGACCUACGGGUGAAAGCAGGGGAUCUUCGGACCUUGCGCGAUUGAAUGAGCCGAUGUCGGAUUAGCUAGUUGGCGGGGUAAAGGCCCACCAAGGCGACGAUCCGUAGCUGGUCUGAGAGGAUGAUCGGCCACACUGGAACUGAGACACGGUCCAGACUCCUACGGGAGGCAGCAGUGGGGAAUAUUAGACAAAGGGCGCAAGCCUGAUCCAGCCAUACCGCGUGGGUGAAGAAGGCCUUCGGGUUGUAAAGCCCUUUUGUUGGGAAAGAAAAGCAGCAGGUUAAUACCCCGCUGUUCUGACGGUACCCAAAGAAUAAGCACCGGCUAACUUCGUG
RNAcentral lists this ribosomal RNA (492 nucleotides) under uncultured bacterium. RNAcentral's name for it is "partial 16S ribosomal RNA". It matches the Rfam family "Bacterial small subunit ribosomal RNA", at positions 29 to 507 of the family's 1533-position model. The record is from RNAcentral.